GCGCUUUGGCAGCACAUAUACUAAAAUUGUAACGAUACAGAGAUUAGCAUGGCCCGUGUGCAAGGAUGACAUGCAAAUUUGUGAAGCAUUCCAUAUUUUU
RNAcentral lists this small nuclear RNA (100 nucleotides) under Physeter macrocephalus (sperm whale). The record is from RNAcentral. Lineage: Eukaryota; Metazoa; Chordata; Mammalia; Artiodactyla; Physeteridae.